GAUAGCACAGCAGGCAGGCAGGCAUUUUCCUUUCUGUCUUUCAUGUAAUGACCGUGAAAUCCCUUCCAUAAGAACAUAGAGGUUUUGUUCUGUUCUGUUUCUAAUUUCAGAACAGUAAGUCUCCAAUGCACCACCACCCACCGGAAAAAGAGCACACAGUGACUGACAAGAUGGUUUUCCGGGUGUCAUGUGAGAAGCAUUGAUCUACGAUCUGUUCCCCUUCCUGCUUCCUCUUCUCCCUUUUGCCCAUGUUCUGGUGCUAUCCAGAAGGAAAAGACUUUCUGAAGGUGAGGGUCUCAUUUUAUCUCCCGUGACUUUUUGCUUGUAACUGGGAGGUUUUACUAAAGGGCAUGCCGUUUUCAGACUCUUUUCAUACCUAAAAAAAAAAAAAAAAGGUUU
Molecule: long non-coding RNA, 399 nt
Filed under: Pan troglodytes (chimpanzee)
Lineage: Eukaryota; Metazoa; Chordata; Mammalia; Primates; Hominidae
Description: lncRNA (ENSPTRG00000053316.1)
Source: RNAcentral